This is a long non-coding RNA of Loxodonta africana (African savanna elephant), 2738 nucleotides long. RefSeq lists it as uncharacterized. The record is from RefSeq and is a predicted model, not a curated record. The transcript is spliced from 3 exons. NCBI's taxonomy places the organism in Eukaryota, Metazoa, Chordata, Mammalia, Proboscidea, Elephantidae.
UGAGUUUGAUGAUAAUAUGUCUUGGUGUUUUUCUUUUUGUAUCAAUCUUAAAUGGGGUUCGAUGAGCAUCUUGGAUAGAUAUCCUUUCGUCUUUCAUGAUGUCAGGGAAGUUUUCUGUCAGAAGUUCUUCAACUAUUUUCUCUGUGUUUUCUGUCCCCCCUCCCUGUUCUGGGACUCCAAUCACCCGCAGGUUAUCCUUCUUGAUAGAGUCCCACAUAAUUCUUAGGGUUUCUUCAUUUUUUUUAAUUCUUUUAUCUGAUUUUUUUUCAGCUAUGUUGGUGUUGAUUCCCUGGUCCUCCAGAUGUCCCAGUCUGCAUUCUAAUUGCUCGAGUCUGCUCCUCUGACUUCCUAGUGUGUUGUCUAAUUCUGUUAUUUUAUUGUUAAUCUUUUGGAUUUCUACAUGUUGUCUCUCUAUGGAUUCUUGCAACUUAUUAAUUUUUCCAGUAUGUUCUUGAAUAAUCUUUUUGAGUUCUUCAACAGUUUUAUCAGUGUGUUCCUUGGCUUUUUCCGCAGAUAUCCUAAUUUCAUUUGUGAUAUCAUUAAGCAUUCUGUAAAUUAGUUUUUUAUAUUCUGUAUCUGAUAAUUCCAAAAUUGUAUCUUCAUUUGGGAAAGAUUUUGAUUCUUUUGUUUGGGGGGUUGGAGAAGCUGUCACGGUCUGCUUCUUUAAGUGGUUUGAUAUGGAUUGUUGUCUCCGAGCCAUCACUGGGAAACUAGUUUUUCCAGAAAAUCCGCUAAAAAAAAAACUGCAGUCAGAUCCCUAUCAGAGUUCUCCCUCUGGCUCCGGCUAUUCAGAUGUUAAUGAAGCCGCCUGGGGAGGGUGGGGGAGGGAACAGAGAGAUAGGAGAGUAGCACCUCAGAAUAUAGCCAGAGUUGCUUGUCUUGCUUGGAAUGACUGUUAUAUCUGAGAUUCCCGCGGGCGCGUCGCCUAUGUGUGCUGGCUGUGUGGAGAUUGCCCCCAGGGGGUCUGGCCCGCUGGAGUCACGGUCAGAUCGUCCGCUUCCAGCCCCACGCCCAGCGUCAAGGCUCCCCUACUGGAACGGUGCACUCUCGACUCCAAAAUCAGUCGCUGCCUCCCGGGGACUUCUCGUCUCUCCAGCCGCGUGGCCGUGCCGCCCCCGUGAACCAGAAAGGGGCCGGGCUUUGCAGGGAGAAGGAGCCGGGUGACUCGCUGGGCCCAGGCCUUGUGACAGGAGAGCCAGUAACGUGCCUGCUGACGGUGAUCCAGCCGCUCCAUCUGCGUCAUAGAGCAAUGAGGCUGCUGCUGUGCGUCAUCAGAGCGGGGACAGAAAGGAGGGGAGCAACCCAGCACUCAGCUCUGCCCUUGCUGACGAGAGCUGGCUGACAGCCUCCCCUCUGCAGGGCUGGAGCACCAUGAGGCCUGUGACAUGGAGCCCGCUGCUGUGUUCCCAGUGCCAGGCACGUUUGUUGAAUGAACAAAUGAAUGAAUUGAAUGAACUAAUGAAUGAAUGAUAAAUGAUGAACAAAUGAAUGAUCAAACCAAUGAAUGAAUGAGUGAUUCUGCCUUGCUCCCCUGAGCCAACCUGCUUCUGCCUGGCCCUGUCAGGUCUCUGAGUAGGACACAGUGCCUACCACUCCUCAGGACCCUCCAAGCCUAUCUGUUCUCACGUCUGAGUCCUGGAAAGUGGAGGGGAGGGGGUAUGACAGCUUUGGCCCACUUUAAGGGUCCCAAGAACCUCCACAGCUCCACUCCGUGGGCACUUCUUCCAGCUGUAGGAUGGCCCGGGUUGGGGGAGUGGACACGGGGAAACCACUACCCAAUGCAGCGUCCUCAGUGCAGGUGUGGGUGGUCCAUGGUCACACUGGUGGCUACCACAGCCCAGAAGUGAUCAGCAGAGGUACAGACCUCAUUGAGAAGGCCUAGACAAGAGAGUGAUCAAUGGUCAUGUGUCAUGGGGAGGACAGUGCCCUCUGGGGCCCCUGGAGGAGCUGGAGGAGGGCUUACACCUGUUAAUACCCCAUUCGUACUUGCCCCAAUUGGGGUGGCCUGGGACACACAGGCCAGCAAGGUAAAUGACAAGACCCGUUCAACAUUCUUGAGAACGUGUGCUCUGCAGCUCCUUGAAAAUAGGCACUUAAUUACAACUGUCAUGGCAAUUACAAACCCUGUUCAUUUAUUCCCCAGACAUUUUCGCAGGAUAAAGCCAUUGCUCCAGGUUGAGUUAUCACAUCCUUGAUGGCCCGAAAGCUAGCUUUAUUUUUAACUUAUCAUCUUUCGGACAUUUCCUAAUUCUAACUGGACUUCACCUCCAUCUAGUUCAAACCAGCGGGACUUUAUACUGCUCCCUUUAGCGUUCACUCAUCCAUCAACACACACUUUUCAUUGACUAGUCCCCCACCAGAAUUUGGACUCGAUUAAGUGCUCAACCACUAGCCGAAAGGUUGGCGGCUCAAACCCAGUCAGUGGUGCCUUGGAAGACAGGCCUGGUGAUCUGCUUCUGAAAAAUCAGCCUUGAAAACCGUCUGGAGCAAAGUUCUGCUCUGCACACGCGGGGAUGCCAUGAGUCAGAGUCAACUGCGCAGCGUCAAACAACAAACACCACCAGAACUCACACGAACAACCUGCUGGACUUCAUCCCUUCGUUUUUCAUUUCUUACCUUCUCUGAUUCUUCCAAAAGCCUCCCAGCAAGAAUACAAACCUAUUAGAGUUGUUCUCUUUAGCCACUUACCAACAUCACCUAGAUUUUAAUUUGGUUCAAAGAGAAUAAUUCCCGCUUCC